This 385-nucleotide unclassified non-coding RNA is filed under the name soil metagenome. Its description in RNAcentral is "partial contains 5.8S ribosomal RNA, internal transcribed spacer 2, and large subunit ribosomal RNA". The stretch from base 1 to 120 matches the Rfam family "5.8S ribosomal RNA", at positions 35 to 154 of the family's 154-position model. The record is from RNAcentral.
GAUGAAGAACGUAGCGAAAUGCGAUAAGUAAUGUGAAUUGCAGAAUUCAGUGAAUCAUCGAAUCUUUGAACGCACCUUGCGCUCCUUGGUAUUCCGAGGAGCAUGCCUGUUUGAGUGUCAUUAAAUUCUCAACCUCACCAGUUUUCUGAACUGUUCUCCGAGGCUUGGAUGUGGGGGUUUGUGCAGGCUGCCUCAGCGCGGUCUGCUCCCCUGAAAUGCAUUAGCGAGUUCGAUACUGAGCUCCGUCUAUUGGUGUGAUAAUUAUCUACGCCGUGGAUCGGGGCUUAGACUCGCUUCUAACCGUCCCAAGGACAAUACCUUGACAAUUUGACCUCAAAUCAGGUAGGACUACCCGCUGAACUUAAGCAUAUCAAUAAGCGGAGGA